UGCGAGUUAGAUUUGGUUUUUAACUUUCACAAGGUAUGGUAUAUCUAAUCUUAGAUGAAUUCGUUCUCGCUGGGGAGCUCCAGGAAACAAGUAAGAAGGCUAUCAUAGAGAGUUUGAAUGAAUUGGAGAAGUUGGAGUAAAGAUUGAUGAUCCAUGAUGGCCAACCUUCAUCCAUAUUCCAAACAUGACCUGAGGUUCGUGAAUCAGCAGGGUUGGCAUUCAGCACUCUCUACAUGACUGCUGGAAUGCAAGCAAUUGAUGAGAUUGUUCCUACACUUCUGCAUGCUCUGGAGGAAGAUCAAACCUCUGAUACUGCUCUGGAUGGUUUAAAACAGAU
Ipomoea nil (Japanese morning glory) is the source of this 337-nucleotide long non-coding RNA. RefSeq lists it as uncharacterized. The record is from RefSeq and is a predicted model, not a curated record. The transcript has 5 exons. Lineage: Eukaryota; Viridiplantae; Streptophyta; Magnoliopsida; Solanales; Convolvulaceae.